AAAAAUUUGCCUAAUCAUAUGAGAGUGAUCACCUCUCACAAUCUUAAGCAUUCACAAAUUUCAUUCACCUUUUCUCAUUGCAUAAUUGUUACACUUUUUCACACAACUUAUUAGCACAAUUUAUUUGCUAUUUUUUUAUAUUUUUUUCUUUCUUUUUCAAUGCUUUUUAUUUUUCUUUUCUUUUUCUUUCUCGAUCUCUUAUCAAC
RNAcentral lists this long non-coding RNA (206 nucleotides) under Lathyrus oleraceus (garden pea). RNAcentral describes it as "Pisum sativum (pea) long non-coding RNA (PSAT_LNC018827)". The record is from RNAcentral. Lineage: Eukaryota; Viridiplantae; Streptophyta; Magnoliopsida; Fabales; Fabaceae.